RNAcentral lists this ribosomal RNA (517 nucleotides) under uncultured bacterium. RNAcentral describes it as "bacterial SSU rRNA". It matches the Rfam family "Bacterial small subunit ribosomal RNA", at positions 375 to 883 of the family's 1533-position model. The record is from RNAcentral.
ACGAAAGUCUGAUGGAGCAACGCCGCGUGAGCGAAGAAGGCCUUCGGGUCGUAAAGCUCUGUUGUUAGGGAAGAACAAGUAUCGGAGUAACUGCCGGUACCUUGACGGUACCUAACCAGAAAGCCACGGCUAACUACGUGCCAGCAGCCGCGGUAAUACGUAGGUGGCAAGCGUUGUCCGGAAUUAUUGGGCGUAAAGCGCGCGCAGGCGGUCCUUUAAGUCUGAUGUGAAAGCCCACGGCUCAACCGUGGAGGGUCAUUGGAAACUGGGGGACUUGAGUGCAGAAGAGGAAAGCGGAAUUCCACGUGUAGCGGUGAAAUGCGUAGAGAUGUGGAGGAACACCAGUGGCGAAGGCGGCUUUCUGGUCUGUAACUGACGCUGAGGCGCGAAAGCGUGGGGAGCAAACAGGAUUAGAUACCCUGGUAGUCCACGCCGUAAACGAUGAGUGCUAAGUGUUAGGGGGUUUCCGCCCCUUAGUGCUGCAGCUAACGCAUUAAGCACUCCGCCUGGGGAGUAC